Molecule: ribosomal RNA, 491 nt
Filed under: uncultured bacterium
Lineage: Bacteria
Description: partial 16S ribosomal RNA
Rfam family: Bacterial small subunit ribosomal RNA
Source: RNAcentral
GUGAACGCUGGCGGUAGGCCUAACACAUGCAAGUCGAACGGCAGCACAGUAAGAGCUUGCUCUUACGGGUGGCGAGUGGCGGACGGGUGAGGAAUACAUCGGAAUCUACUUUUUCGUGGGGGAUAACGUAGGGAAACUUACGCUAAUACCGCAUACGACCUACGGGUGAAAGCAGGGGAUCUUCGGACCUUGCGCGAUUGAAUGAGCCGAUGUCGGAUUAGCUAGUUGGCGGGGUAAAGGCCCACCAAGGCGACGAUCCGUAGCUGGUCUGAGAGGAUGAUCAGCCACACUGGAACUGAGACACGGUCCAGACUCCUACGGGAGGCAGCAGUGGGGAAUAUUGGACAAAGGGCGCAAGCCUGAUCCAGCCAUACCGCGUGGGUGAAGAAGGCCUUCGGGUUGUAAAGCCCUUUUGUUGGGAAAGAAAAGCAGCAGGUUAAUACCCCGCUGUUCUGACGGUACCCAAAGAAUAAGCGCCGGCUAACUCCGUG